CAGAGCUUUCCCGGGCAAGAGCGUUCCCGGCCCCAGGCUAGGAAGGCCUAGUUUCUGGAGCCAUAGAAGGGGAUUCUCCAAGAUAAUGAGGACAGUAGUGAAGGACAUCUGGAAACAACAAACAAGCACAUCUUCUUCCAUGGAUCCACUUCCUGAUCUUUGAAAAUCCUUUAGAGCCUCUAGUUAAAGUGCAAACUUACUCACUAAGUGAAGAUGAAGAUCUUGUCAUUUCUAACACUUGCAUAAAAAGAGAGGUGAUUCAAACUCAAAGAAAAUGUUUGAGGAAAUACUCUAGUCAGAGUACAAAUAAACACCUAGAAGGCUGAGACGGGGAAGGAUAAGAAGAGGC
Molecule: long non-coding RNA, 349 nt
Organism: Grammomys surdaster
Lineage: Eukaryota; Metazoa; Chordata; Mammalia; Rodentia; Muridae
Exons: 3
Source: RefSeq, a predicted model, not a curated record